GCCGGGCUGGCGGAAUUGGCAGACGCGUACGCUUGAGGGGCGUAUGGGUUUCCCGUGGGGGUUCAAAUCCCUCGCCCGGCACCA
This 84-nucleotide transfer RNA is filed under the name bacterium. RNAcentral describes it as "tRNA-Leu". It matches the Rfam family "tRNA". From Rfam's summary of the family: Transfer RNA (tRNA) molecules are approximately 80 nucleotides in length. RNAcentral also lists the same sequence under 6 other names. The record is from RNAcentral.